GCAUUGAUCUCGCUAUCCCGUCGCCAACUAUGGAACAUAACUCCAAUAAACAGGCAUUUCUUCAAAUUUUCCGUAACGUGGUACUGUCGGAAAAUACGCAAAAAUACGAAAACUCAGAUUAUCUCAGUUUUCAGAUAUGGAAUGAAGUUCAGAAAAAUACCAGUUCUCUCAAGAAAUUGGUGCAAUUGUUACCUCUAACUCGAUUCAUUGAUCAUAAAUGGGCAGAAAGAGGAAAACUCGUAUUAUGGAUUUUUAGAAUUUUUUAGAAUUUUUUGAUAAUCCUCCGAAUUUAUCAAAAGAAUUCAAAGUUUGCCAGAACUAAUAGGGAAUCUUUCUCAGAACUUUCCGGUAAAAUAGUAUAUACCUAAAAGAUUUCAGAGAAGUUUUUUGAUCUUGUCGGAGCGAUUUGUAACUAUUUCAAUUCAACUCACAAACUGAGUAUUGAACUUCCCAACAUCAGCAAAUGUGUAUAUUUAAUAUAGUAACCAUAUACAUAAUAAUUGCAUCAUUAUAUUGUAGAUUUAUACUUAAACUUUAACAGGGUAAUAAUUUUAACAUGGUUACUUAGUUAUCACCUUAUUACAAUUAAGUAAUGAGAAAUCGAUUUAACAUUAUAAUAUAAUAUAAUUUAUUGUAUUGACGAAGUUAUUGCAGAAAUGUGGAUCACUAUAUCUAAAUUUAUUGUACAUAUUAUAAGCGCAUUUUCUAAAAAUUGGGCGUAUUCUUCAAUAUUAUUCACUCCAAAUAUCUGACAAACAGUGUGUAAUAACGACGCACCGCCCUUGGAAUCUACUGAUUAUUGAAGAAUUAAGAUUAUUGGAAUAAUUUGUUUUAAUUUAUGUACAUGUCAGGGAUCAACCCUGUUCUAGUUAUUCACUAAUACCCAUGAUGUUUUGAUAUUUCAGGAUUUAUUCUCAUAUGUUGAAACAUUCAGAAAACAGGUGAAUUUACUGAAAAUCUCUUUGAAACCGUUAGAACAUUCUCUUAUUUCUGCAAAUUUUCAAGGAGUAAUGUUUUUACAACGACCAUGAAAAAAAAAAUGAAACAAGUAACAGCACUCCUUAUUAGUUUGACUGUUCGAUUGAAACAGUUAGCUAAGCCCGUUGCUUGUCUUGAUUAAAAAUUAUCUGACCACAACCGACUUUCAAAAUAUGUUGAUUAUCAAUAUUUUACGUUAAAUUUUCAUUAUACACACCGCUCGUUUAAACCGAAUAGACAAGCUCAAUAUGUUAAAAAUAAUAGGCAACAUAAUAUAUUAGUUAAUAAAUAAUUGAUCUAUCAAUAUGUCGGUACUAAACCAAAUAAACAAAAUAGAAUGUAGCAAUAAGUUGCAAUACGAUUUGUUUUGGAUUUGAAAAAAAUUCAGAACCACAAAUCCCCUACAUCUAUCGAAUUCUUUACUAAUUGGUACAAUACACAUUGUCGCUCAUUAGCCACAUAGGCACUAUGCAAAAUGCUUAAAACUAUUUGUCUGAAUAUUAUACAACAAUUGCAAUUUCAAAACAUACAUUUGCAGUUGAACCAAACAUCGGACAGUCACCAUUCCCAAUUUUAUUGUAAUCUCAAUAUAUUGUAGUUAUCUGAAAGACAAUCACCUGUGUUGUUUAGUUUCUUGAUAUCUCUACCGUUCCGAAGUUAGAAUCCGUUAAACUUCGAAUGUUAAAGCCACGUUAGAAAAUCUGAAAGAAAUUUAGAAAAUUGUAGAAAAUUAUAAGGAUUUUGAAACCCUGUGAAGAGUGAUUCCUUCGUUGCUAGUAAAAUAUUAUUCAUUUUGCCGAGAUAUUUUUCUAAGUUUUUUUUUUGAAACUUUUGAGAAUAUUACGGAAAAUCUGGUGCAAUAAUAUUAUAUAAAAGAAUAUUACUAUAUAGUGAAGUUACAACAAAAUGGGGAAUUUUUAAAGUCCGACGCUUGGUAAAACCACUUAGAAUUCCCCAUUAUAAUAUAAUACGUCAAAUAGUACCUGAUUGCCUCUUCAAGAUUUUACAAUGACAUUGUAAAUUUUUUUGGAUUAAAAAAGAAGUGGUUAAUAAUCCUGACAACCUUAUGUUUUGUUUUUCAUCGAUUUUCAAACUGUUGCAACAGUUCAAGCUAUAAACAAGCGGAAUUACUUAUUAGGAAGCUACAAUUGGUUCCAGAAAAGCCUUGGGUACUUUGCCUCGCUGAUUGCCUCUAACUCCCAUCAGAUAAUCUCCAUCCCCAGGAAUCUUAGAUACACAAAUCACCUGAAAAAUGAAAACCAAUUAUCUAUUUUAGCGGAAAGUGGCGCAGAAACGAUAUCAACAACUGUCUCAAAUUUUUUUCAAGAUUCGACUCCGCACCACAUAAAGAAAUAAGUUAUAUACGAAUAAUAUAGGAUGAAGAAAUUAUUAGUAGAGGUACUCAAAGUAUAGGAAUAGUACAUACAGGUGAUCAGAUCAGAACAAUGUAAAACUGAAAUUUAUUAAACUUUAUUGACUACACCUUUAGUGUAAUAAUAAUAAUACUAAUAAUAUAAUAAUAAUCGUAAUAAUAAUAAUAACAGUAAUAAUAAUAACAUAUGGCAAAUGUAUAUUUUUAAAAUAUAAACAUAUGCAUAAAUAUGACAAAAUACAAAUUAGAAGUUCUACGUGUGUAGUAAAUGAAAGUUUUUGAGGGAAAAAAAAACAAAAAAAACGUUGUUACAUCGAGAAAUUAUGUUAAUCGCGCGAAAAACGAAUACAACAACUAUAACAUUAUAAUCUAUAUCCUAAAAUAGUAUUUAUAUCAUGCGUUUUUUGUAGUAAGUAUAAAUCGCCCUAUAUAUUACAGAAAUGGUAGUUCAGUAUUAUUAUUGUAUAAUUCUUUACAGGAUGAGUAUUUCAUUGUUUAGCUACAUGUUUCCACAUUUGCGAACUAUAAUUGUAAAAUUUCGUCUCUCA
RNAcentral lists this long non-coding RNA (2898 nucleotides) under Neodiprion pinetum (white pine sawfly). RNAcentral describes it as "uncharacterized LOC124211152". Lineage: Eukaryota; Metazoa; Arthropoda; Insecta; Hymenoptera; Diprionidae. The record is from RNAcentral.